Molecule: long non-coding RNA, 305 nt
Filed under: Polistes fuscatus (common paper wasp)
Lineage: Eukaryota; Metazoa; Arthropoda; Insecta; Hymenoptera; Vespidae
Description: uncharacterized LOC122514103
Source: RNAcentral
GAAGAAAAGAAGAGAAGGAGAGAGACUUUGAAACGACUUCUGUCUUGAGCAAGCUCGAAGACAACGCUUUUCUUGAAUGAAUUACUACUUAUUGCUGCCAUUGUAUUAUAAAACCUUAGCCUAAAACCAAGCCAAUUUGUUAUCUUCAAAAAAAGGAAACUUAGACACAGAAGAAAAUAUGUAACACUAGUCCACUGAAAUAGGAAUUCCAGACACCCUAAAUUAGGGGUAGGGAGGAAGAAAUUGAUCUAAAGGUAAAAAGGUAAUAAAACUGACAAAGAUUAUUCCUGGCAUAAGAAGAAGAA